Molecule: ribosomal RNA, 780 nt
Filed under: uncultured bacterium
Lineage: Bacteria
Description: bacterial SSU rRNA
Rfam family: Bacterial small subunit ribosomal RNA
Source: RNAcentral
CAUGCAGUCGAACGGAGAUUCAGAUGAAGCUUGCGAUUCUGAAUCUUAGUGGCGGACGGGUGAGUAACGCGUGGGUAAUCUGCCCUUGAGCGGGGGAUAACAGUCGGAAACGAUUGCUAGUACCGCAUACACUACCAGGAACACAUGUUUGUGGUAGCAAAGGUGGCCUCUUAACAAUGCUACCGCUUAAGGAUGAGCCCGCGUCUGAUUAGCUAGUAGGUGGGGUAACGGCCUACCUAGGCAACGAUCAGUAGCCGGCCUGAGAGGGUGUACGGCCACACUGGAACUGAGACACGGUCCAGACUCCUACGGGAGGCAGCAGUGGGGAAUAUUGCGCAAUGGGGGAAACCCUGACGCAGCGACGCCGCGUGAGCGAUGAAGGCUUUCGGGUCGUAAAGCUCUGUUCUAAGGGACGAAGUCCUUACUUGUAAAUAAUGAGUAGGGGUGACGGUACCUUAGGAGAAAGCCCCGGCUAACUACGUGCCAGCAGCCGCGGUAAAACGUAGGGGGCGAGCGUUGUCCGGAAUUACUGGGCGUAAAGAGCGUGUAGGCGGGUGCUUAAGUCAGGUGUGAAAGACCGGGGCUCAACUCCGGGGUUGCACUUGAAACUGGGUAUCUUGAGGGCAGGAGAGGAAAGCGGAAUUCCUGGUGUAGCGGUGAAAUGCGUAGAUAUCAGGAGGAACACCGGUGGCGAAGGCGGCUUUCUGGACUGACCCUAACGCUGAGACGCGAAAGCGUGGGGAGCAAACAGGAUUAGAUACCCUGGUAGUCCACGCUGUA